This is a non-coding RNA of Peromyscus maniculatus bairdii (prairie deer mouse), 1938 nucleotides long. NCBI's taxonomy places the organism in Eukaryota, Metazoa, Chordata, Mammalia, Rodentia, Cricetidae. The record is from RefSeq and is a predicted model, not a curated record.
CCUGCUCCUUCAAAGCCUGCCAAACACGGCUCCUCCCCCAGAGAUGCUCAAGACCACUCCCACAGGGUAUUUAAGCUGCAGCCCAGAAAACAGACAUGUGGUUUUCCGGUCUCUUGUCCCGUUUCCAGGGGGCUGGCAAUCACCCGGGCAUGCUUUACCUAUUAAACCGGGGCUUUUUCUAAUUCGGUCUGAUUUGGUUUGAUUUGGAUUGCUGCGUCUGCAGAGAGGCUAUUGGGGUACAAAAACCUUUCAUCUGGAGGUCCCACCAAUGGGGGUUGAUUUUCCCCCACCAGCCCGGGCCACGUGAUGGGAAAACAACCCUAUCCCCAACAUCUGCUCUCUACCAGACUUAAGAUUGGCUUUCAGCUCGUAGCUGGAGCUGAUGGAGUUGUUCAAGUCUCCAGAGAAGAGACCUCAUGGUUCGUUGCCUCCUCCAAGGAAAAACUCCCACUUUAUGGGCCUGGUGGCCAAAGACUGAUGCUGUUCUGAUACUUCUGCCUCCAACGAUGGGAGACCCGGGCAUGGCUGACUGGGUAUGCACUGGUCCCUGUUAUCUUUAAUAGAUUUGAAAGCUGCUUGGCCUGCACUCAGAUAUAAUUUAUCCUUCUCAGAUCUCUGAUUCAAUUUGAGAACCAGGCUUUGCUUCAGCUGCCUUCUCAGUUCUCUAUAUAAAAUUCACAGAUCUCCCUCUCCUAGGGCUACUACUAGGUCUAGACACAACUUACCUUGUUACCGGAUCAGAUAAACUCACAGAACAGAUUUCAAUGUAACUUUUUACUGUUGACUGUUCUCAGUAUCCCCUGAUAAAUUAGAUAAAAAGAAAUAGCUUUAAGGUUUGUUUAUAUGAAGAUAUAAACUUCUUCUUACUUCUGUUCACUUACAUAUCCUUCUCAGAUCUGAUGAUGUUUAGGGAAGGCUCCCUCCUCCUUCACUCACUCAACCACUUCCAUUCAGUAAAUUUCCUCUGGUUGUAGAUUUAAAGAUAUGUUUCAUUAGGCUGAAACCAGGAAAUGCUCAUACCUUUUAACCCAAAGCCAUAGCUUUUGCUAUGACACCAAGAUGUAAAUCUGUUCCAGUUGCUUUACAGACACUUGGAGGUCCCUGCACAGAUCCACCCCUCCUGCCAGGCUUGUGCCAGGGCCAAUCCACAGGGGUCCUCCAGAUAUGCCAGCCCCUGAACCAGCUCCAAGGAUGCCAACCACCAAGAUGAAAGAGAUAUUUCCACCACACAGCAGAUGCAAUGGCUCCUGUACUCCUGAUUUGGUGUGCCGUUCCCCAACCUCCUGGAACAUCACUGCUGCAACCUGCCUUCUCAGCCCCCUCCAGGAACACCUGAGAUCUCCACGAUGACAGCUAACUGAAUGCUUCUUCACUCAUACCCCUCACCAUGCGUGACUCCCAGCUUCCCCCUCCCCACUUCGCCCCUUGUCAGCAGGAAGCAUUCUCGAGAAUUUGGCACCCUCAUUCCCCCCACUUGCUAUCCACAACUCACCUUUUUAUAAUACUCAAAAUGGAGGAACGCUAGUAUUCUGACCUGCACCUUGGGGACCCACCCAGCAUCCUGACAUCAUCUUAAGUAAGGUCCCCUUUAAGAAAAAACUCCUCUGCCUUCACUCCCCCCCACCAGAGGUACCAAACACCCCUCUCUCUCUUUCUCUUUCUCUUUCCCUCUCUCUCUCUCUCUCUCUCUCUCUCUCUCUCUCUCUCUCUCUCUCUCUCUUCCUUUAAUCAUAAAAACUUUCCAUAUGGAAGUCAUAUCUACCGUGUGAGUAACUUUCCAGCAGAUGGCGCCAUGCGGUAAUCUGCUGCGUCUGCAUGGUGUGUCUCACCUGUGGGGCACCUUGGUCCAAACCAUUUCACAACAUUAACAAAAUCCUGUCUUGAAAAAACCAAAACCAAAACCAAAAAGAAAAAAGAAAAAGAAAAGAAAGAAAAAGA